ACCCAGACUCCUACGGGAGGCAGCAGUGGGGAAUAUUGCACAAUGGGGGGAACCCUGAUGCAGCGACGCCGCGUGUGGGAAGACGGUCCUCUGGAUUGUAAACCACUGUCCCCAGGGACGAAGAUGACGGUACCUGGGGAGGAAGCCCCGGCUAACUACGUGCCAGCAGCCGCGGUAAUACGUAGGGGGCAAGCGUUAUCCGGAUUUACUGGGUGUAAAGGGGGCGCAGACGGCAGCGCAAGCCAGGAGUGAAAGCCCGGGGCCCAACCCCGGGACUGCUCUUGGAACUGCGUGGCUAGAGUGCAGGAGGGGCAGGCGGAAUUCCUGGUGUAGCGGUGAAAUGCGUAGAUAUCAGGAGGAACACCGGUGGCGAAGGCGGCCUGCUGGACUGUAACUGACGUUGAGGCUCGAAAGCGUGGGGAGCAAACAGGAUUAGAUACCCCUGUAU
This 448-nucleotide ribosomal RNA is filed under the name uncultured bacterium. RNAcentral describes it as "partial 16S ribosomal RNA". It matches the Rfam family "Bacterial small subunit ribosomal RNA", at positions 329 to 793 of the family's 1533-position model. The record is from RNAcentral.